GGGGAAUAUUGGACAAUGGGGGAAACCCUGAUCCAGCCAUGCCGCGUGAGUGAUGAAGGCCUUAGGGUUGUAAAGCUCUUUCGCUAGGGAAGAUAAUGACGGUACCUAGACAAGAAGCCCCGGCUAACUUCGUGCCAGCAGCCGCGGUAAUACGAAGGGGGCUAGCGUUGUUCGGAAUUACUGGGCGUAAAGCGCACGUAGGCGGGCCGGCCAGUCAGGGGUGAAAUCCCAGAGCUUAACUCUGGAACUGCCCUUGAUACUGCCGGUCUUGAGGAUGAGAGAGGUGAGUGGAACUGCGAGUGUAGAGGUGAAAUUCGUAGAUAUUCGCAAGAACACCAGUGGCGAAGGCGGCUCACUGGCUCAUUUCUGACGCUGAGGUGCGAAAGCGUGGGGAGCAAAC
RNAcentral lists this ribosomal RNA (400 nucleotides) under uncultured bacterium. RNAcentral describes it as "bacterial SSU rRNA". It matches the Rfam family "Bacterial small subunit ribosomal RNA", at positions 356 to 773 of the family's 1533-position model. The record is from RNAcentral.